This 427-nucleotide ribosomal RNA is filed under the name uncultured bacterium. Its description in RNAcentral is "partial 16S ribosomal RNA". It matches the Rfam family "Bacterial small subunit ribosomal RNA", at positions 355 to 774 of the family's 1533-position model. The record is from RNAcentral.
UGGGGAAUAUUGGACAAUGGGCGAAAGCCUGAUCCAGCCAUGACGCGUGUGUGAAGAAGGUCUUCGGAUUGUAAAGCACUUUAAGUUGGGAGGAAGGGCAUUAACCUAAUACGUUAGUGUUUUGACGUUACCGACAGAAUAAGCACCGGCUAACUCUGUGCCAGCAGCCGCGGUAAUACAGAGGGUGCAAGCGUUAAUCGGAAUUACUGGGCGUAAAGCGCGCGUAGGUGGUUUGUUAAGUUGGAUGUGAAAUCCCCGGGCUCAACCUGGGAACUGCAUUCAAAACUGACUGACUAGAGUAUGGUAGAGGGUGGUGGAAUUUCCUGUGUAGCGGUGAAAUGCGUAGAUAUAGGAAGGAACACCAGUGGCGAAGGCGACCACCUGGACUAAUACUGACACUGAGGUGCGAAAGCGUGGGGAGCAAACA